This 142-nucleotide ribosomal RNA is filed under the name uncultured bacterium. RNAcentral describes it as "partial 16S ribosomal RNA". It matches the Rfam family "Bacterial small subunit ribosomal RNA", at positions 349 to 507 of the family's 1533-position model. The record is from RNAcentral.
CAGCAGUAAGGAAUAUUGCGCAAUGGGCGAAAGCCUGACGCAGCGACGCCGCGUGAGGGAAGAAGGCCUUCGGGUUGUAAACCUCUUUUCUUGGUGAAGAGUAAGGACGGUAACCAAGGAAUAAGCCUCGGCUAACUACGUG